This 1032-nucleotide ribosomal RNA is filed under the name Triticum aestivum (bread wheat). RNAcentral describes it as "partial small subunit ribosomal RNA". Lineage: Eukaryota; Viridiplantae; Streptophyta; Magnoliopsida; Poales; Poaceae. The record is from RNAcentral.
AUGGGCGCCAAGAAAACAAAACAGUUCCGGUAUGAGGUGAUGUGGGAACCACACUCCGACCUGAAACCAACAGUUGAGGCUGCAUGGGAGGCCAACGGUCACUAUCAAAUGGUUGGUGAAGUCCGCACAAAUCUUGAAGCGCUGGCUAGGAACCUGGGCGUGUGGGCACAAACCACUUUUGGAAGUGUAAGGGGAGAAAUUAGGAGUUUAAAGAAGGAAUUGGAUCGUCUUCGAAGUGAUGUUAGUCGGGUGGGUCCGUCUCAUGCAGAAAUCAAAAUUAAUGAUCGCUUGAUCGAACUUUACUUGCGGGGACCGAAAUUCCCAUUUUUUUCAUAUGCGGGCUUCCAUGAGGAGGAGGAAGAACUUGAUAAAGGCUCUGGAAAAACUGGAUGGCAACUCUAUACUUCGGAGGGAGUACAAGGUGUGGAAGAUGUUCUUCAGCAUGUGCCCGUGAAGGUUACACCGGAGAUGAAUGAAAUGCUCCUGGCCCCGUUUGAGGCGAAGGAAGUUAAAGCCGCUCUAUUUCAGAUGUUUCCUACUAAAGCUCCAGGCCCUGCCGGCUUUCCAGCUCACUUUUUUCAGAGGCAUUGGGAUAUUUGUGGAGAAACGGUGACUAGGGCAGUGUUGGCUAUUGUGAAAGGAGAAGGGAGCCCUGCAUGUUUGAAUGACACAUUGCUGGUUCUCAUCCCAAAGAUUGCUUCGAAAGUGCUAGCAAACAGGCUAAAACUGAUCCUGCCUGACAUAAUAUCAGAGGAGCAAUCCGCUUUUUUGCCAGGGAGGCUAAUAACUAAUAACAUCAUAUCAGCAUAUGAAUGUUUGCACUUCAUGAAGAGGAAUAUAGCAAAAAAUAACAGAUUUGCAGCUUUGAAGCUUGAUAUGAUGGAAGCAUAUGACCGUGUGGAGUGGUCUUAUUUGAAGUCUAUCAUGGAGAAACUGGGCUUUGCAGCACCUUGGGUUUCAGUCGUGAUGAAUAUGUUCCAACCUACAAGGGGAAUCCGACAGGGAGAUCCAAUCUCUCGUACCUUUUCUUGA